RNAcentral lists this ribosomal RNA (901 nucleotides) under Bacillus siamensis. Its description in RNAcentral is "bacterial SSU rRNA". It matches the Rfam family "Bacterial small subunit ribosomal RNA", at positions 80 to 966 of the family's 1533-position model. Lineage: Bacteria; Bacillati; Bacillota; Bacilli; Caryophanales; Bacillaceae. The record is from RNAcentral.
UGCUCCCUGAUGUUAGCGGCGGACGGGUGAGUAACACGUGGGUAACCUGCCUGUAAGACUGGGAUAACUCCGGGAAACCGGGGCUAAUACCGGAUGGUUGUUUGAACCGCAUGGUUCAGACAUAAAAGGUGGCUUCGGCUACCACUUACAGAUGGACCCGCGGCGCAUUAGCUAGUUGGUGAGGUAACGGCUCACCAAGGCGACGAUGCGUAGCCGACCUGAGAGGGUGAUCGGCCACACUGGGACUGAGACACGGCCCAGACUCCUACGGGAGGCAGCAGUAGGGAAUCUUCCGCAAUGGACGAAAGUCUGACGGAGCAACGCCGCGUGAGUGAUGAAGGUUUUCGGAUCGUAAAGCUCUGUUGUUAGGGAAGAACAAGUGCCGUUCAAAUAGGGCGGCACCUUGACGGUACCUAACCAGAAAGCCACGGCUAACUACGUGCCAGCAGCCGCGGUAAUACGUAGGUGGCAAGCGUUGUCCGGAAUUAUUGGGCGUAAAGGGCUCGCAGGCGGUUUCUUAAGUCUGAUGUGAAAGCCCCCGGCUCAACCGGGGAGGGUCAUUGGAAACUGGGGAACUUGAGUGCAGAAGAGGAGAGUGGAAUUCCACGUGUAGCGGUGAAAUGCGUAGAGAUGUGGAGGAACACCAGUGGCGAAGGCGACUCUCUGGUCUGUAACUGACGCUGAGGAGCGAAAGCGUGGGGAGCGAACAGGAUUAGAUACCCUGGUAGUCCACGCCGUAAACGAUGAGUGCUAAGUGUUAGGGGGUUUCCGCCCCUUAGUGCUGCAGCUAACGCAUUAAGCACUCCGCCUGGGGAGUACGGUCGCAAGACUGAAACUCAAAGGAAUUGACGGGGGCCCGCACAAGCGGUGNGCAUGUGGUUUAAUUCGAAGCAACGCGAAG